GAGGGUAUAGCUCAGGGGUAGAGCGUGUGCUUAGCAUGCGUGAGGUCCUGGGUUCAAUCCCCAGGACCUCCA
RNAcentral lists this transfer RNA (72 nucleotides) under Camelus bactrianus (Bactrian camel). It matches the Rfam family "tRNA". Rfam says of the family: Transfer RNA (tRNA) molecules are approximately 80 nucleotides in length. Their secondary structure includes four short double-helical elements and three loops (D, anti-codon, and T loops). Further hydrogen bonds mediate the characteristic L-shaped molecular structure. tRNAs have two regions of fundamental functional importance: the anti-codon, which is responsible for specific mRNA codon recognition, and the 3' end, to which the tRNAs corresponding amino acid is attached (by aminoacyl-tRNA synthetases). tRNAs cope with the degeneracy of the genetic code in two manners: having more than one tRNA (with a specific anti-codon) for a particular amino acid; and 'wobble' base-pairing, i.e. permitting non-standard base-pairing at the 3rd anti-codon position. RNAcentral also lists the same sequence under 1 other name. Lineage: Eukaryota; Metazoa; Chordata; Mammalia; Artiodactyla; Camelidae. The record is from Rfam by way of RNAcentral.